CAGUGAGGUAUCUGGGGUGUCCCCAUGGUGCUUCUCUGUCCCUCCGUGGCUGGCUCAUAGAUGCUCUGCUUCACUGCAAACACAGUUGGAAGUGGGUCUCAUUUCCACCUUGAGCAGUAUCUUUGAAUGAAUCCUUUUGGAUCAUUAGUCCUCACUGAACAUGGUGAGUUCUCUGCAGACUGUCCAUUUGCAAGAGGUCCGGGCGGGAGGGGGUCAGAGCAGUGCCCUAGGACUGAUGGCGUAGCCUGGCUCUCAGCAGAGCCUCACAGAUCUGCGCACCUGGCGGGACCACUCACCUGGCUGUACCUGGACCUCUGCCUGCCGCCAACAGAGCCCACCAGCCGGCACAAGUCCAUCCCAAGCUAGAGGGGUCUGGCCCCCCCUUUCUGUCAGUUCCUGUUUUCUCCCUGGUCAUCCCAUCCCAGGCCCUUGGCUCAAGUCCACCCUCAGCCAUGGCACUGUGUGAGUAUCCGUCUUUUCCUUUCGGCCAGUGUGCCUUGAGCACUUGCAGCGUCCUCAGUCCAUGUCAGUGAGCGGAGUGACUGCAGCCCCUGCGCCCAGCCUGCUCCUCCCCCAGCCCGCCUGGUGGCCCAUGGCUAAGUCUCGGAAGCUAAAUCACUGUGACAGUUUUCAGCAGAAAGAGAUUAAAGACAGAGUCACCAGACGGUCUCAAGGGCGACUCUGCGCCAAGUUCCAGGGCUGCCCCCAGGCACUGAGCAGCCGGGACCCUCACCCAGAGCUGUAACCCCCCCAGACCCCAUGAGCAGAUGCCAGCAGCCUUGCCAGACCUGGGAAGUGCCCUGCACGCCUGCCGCCAGACCAUUCUCCCAGCCUCCAGAGACCAACCCCAAUGUGGCCCAGGUGUGCACGGGCCAGGAAGAGGCUGGACCCCUCUUCCUGGGCUGCAUUCCUGUCCCACUCUUGCCCAUAUUCACACACCUGCUCUUCCACCAUGGAGAGUCUCGUGAUUUUUAGAAGCCAGAUGCUUGACCACUUGUUGCUUUUACACAGCACACAGGGGAAUGCUUCUCCCAGGAAAACUCCUCAACAUCCUUCAAAGCCCCGUCCUGCAAGACUGGGCCUCACCGCCCCCGGAGUAAGCAUUCAGGCCAGCAGGGGAGCAUGUGGCCAGAUGUGUGGACCAGUGUCCUCAGGCCCGGGCCUCCUAGGGGUCCUGCAGAGCUGGAGUUGGCCAACUUGGGAUGUGGAUGGGGAGCCUGGGCAGACUGGGUGCAUGGGUGCCAACUCCUCUGCCCCAGGCUGGCCUGAGAGCCCUUGGCGGUCACUUUCCCUGGACGUUCUGGGCCCCGCCUGCCCCCACUCUCUGUUGGACGCCUGGCAGUCCUGGGAGGAUCUGCCCUGGGCAAUCACGGGGGCGGGCAGGGUCCCCAGUAGUCCAUGUGGGGAGUCCCAUCCUGCUGGCAUUGGGGGCUGGGCCCCUUGGUGACCUGACCCCCUCCACAACGUCCAGGCCUGACGACGCACCAGGAUGUGCUGGUGGGGACGUGGCUGCCAAGAGCGGCCGCCAGCUGGAGGUGUCACUGGCGCCUGCGU
This is a non-coding RNA of Odocoileus virginianus texanus, 1554 nucleotides long. NCBI's taxonomy places the organism in Eukaryota, Metazoa, Chordata, Mammalia, Artiodactyla, Cervidae. The record is from RefSeq and is a predicted model, not a curated record.